This 460-nucleotide long non-coding RNA is filed under the name Mytilus galloprovincialis (Mediterranean mussel). The record is from RNAcentral. Lineage: Eukaryota; Metazoa; Mollusca; Bivalvia; Mytilida; Mytilidae.
ACAGGUCACAAAUAUCACAUGGUGCCUAUUUUUUACUUUGCUGGAUUUAUAGGAUUUUGACAUUGCCAAUGAUUUGGAAUAAAUUGUAUAAAACUGGAAUUUCAAAACCAAUAUAAAUACAUUUUUUUGGCUAAAUAAAGGCAACAGUAGUAUACCGCUGUUCAAAACUCAUAAAUCUAUGGACAAAAAACAAAAUCGGGGUAACAAACUAAAACUGAGGGAAACGCAUUAAAUAUUAGAGGAGAACAACGACACAACAUUAAAAUGUAACACACACAGCAAUGGACUAAGCAUUAGACAACAUCCGAUGAGAAUAACCAAUAUAACAUCAAAACUAAAUACAUGAAUUUGGGAUAGAAAAGUACCGUGACACGUCUUAUAGUAAUGUGAAUUCACACUCAUAAAUAGGAGAAAACAAACGACACAACGGAAACACAACGUAAAAAUAUUACACACACAG